Long non-coding RNA from Armigeres subalbatus, 442 nucleotides. RefSeq lists it as uncharacterized. NCBI's taxonomy places the organism in Eukaryota, Metazoa, Arthropoda, Insecta, Diptera, Culicidae. The record is from RefSeq and is a predicted model, not a curated record. The transcript is spliced from 3 exons.
AUGAAAGGGAACAAAAACUUUUGCCUAUCAUUUUACUCGGAGAAUGGCUGGAUUCAUUUGAGCGUGUACAGUUUUGUUUAUAAUUAGUGAAGAGAUGAAAAUAAUGAAACUUUAUGGUGCAGAAAGUGUCUUUUUCAUUACAGUUUCUGCUGCUGGGCAAGCGGUAGAUCACUAUGGCUUCUGUACCGUGAAAUGAAGCUUAUGAUAAAUAAAAUACUGCUGCUUGCUGGUCACUGAUUCAAAAUCGUUCAGUGGCUACUAUUGGCCAAUCUCACCAACGGGAUAUAAUAAGAACUGAUGCAGGUUUAUAUCUACAUGUAUUGUCUAUUCGGAACAAAGUUAGUACGCUUUUUAAACCGAUGUUGGAUUUUUCACCAGAUACAGGCAACCCACUGAAUUUUGGAAGUAGUGCGCUGGAUUCGUCUGAAGAUAUGCUAAACAA